Molecule: ribosomal RNA, 703 nt
Filed under: gamma proteobacterium 5.1.11_I
Lineage: Bacteria; Pseudomonadati; Pseudomonadota; Gammaproteobacteria
Description: bacterial SSU rRNA
Rfam family: Bacterial small subunit ribosomal RNA
Source: RNAcentral
GAAUCUGCCUGGUAGAGGGGGAUAACUUUNGGAAACGGNCGCUAAUACCGCAUANCGUNCUNCGGGNCAAAGCAGGGGACCUUCGGGCCUCNCGCCAUCAGAUGAGCNUAGAUGGGAUUAGCUAGUAGGUGAGGUAAUGGCUCACCUAGGCGACGAUCCNUANCUGGUCUGAGAGGAUGNUCAGUCACACUGGAACUGAGACACGGUCCAGACUCCUACGGGAGGCAGCAGUGGGGAAUAUUGCACAAUGGGCGCAAGCCUGAUNCAGCCAUGCCGCGUGUAUGAAGAAGGNGUUCGGAUUGUAAAGCACUUUCAGCGGGGAGGAAGGGCAUUAGCUUAAUAACCUAGUGUUUUGACGUUACCGGCAGAAGAAGCACCGGCUAACUCUGUGCCAGCAGCCGCGGUAAUACAGAGGGUGCAAGCGUUAAUCGGAAUUACUGGGCGUAAAGCGCGCGCAGGUGGUUUGUCAAGUCGGAUGUGAAAUCCCCGGGCUCAACCUGGGAACUGCAUUCAAAACUGGCAGGCUAGAGUAUUGUAGAGGGGGGUAGAAUUCCAGGUGUAGCGGUGAAAUGCGUAGAGAUAGGGAGGAACACCGGUGGCGAAGGCGGCCCCCUGGACAAAGACUGACGCUCAGGUGCGAAAGCGUGGGGAGCAAACAGGAUUAGAUACCCUGGUAGUCCACGCCGUAAACGAUGUCGACUAG